CACCCCCUGCGUGACUGGCGAUAGAACCCUCCGGGUUCAAGGUGGAGCCUCCCACCGUGAAGCGCAGGGUGCCGUUUUUGCCGUUCGCCUGGGCAGCCGUU
Molecule: regulatory RNA element, 101 nt
Organism: Burkholderia glumae BGR1
Lineage: Bacteria; Pseudomonadati; Pseudomonadota; Betaproteobacteria; Burkholderiales; Burkholderiaceae
Rfam family: ZMP/ZTP riboswitch aptamer (pfl RNA motif)
About the family: Previously known as pfl RNA. ZMP is also known as AICAR.
Source: Rfam